RNAcentral lists this long non-coding RNA (6238 nucleotides) under Piliocolobus tephrosceles (Ugandan red Colobus). Its description in RNAcentral is "lncRNA (ENSPTEG00000014888.1)". The record is from RNAcentral. Lineage: Eukaryota; Metazoa; Chordata; Mammalia; Primates; Cercopithecidae.
AACAAACCGAACAAACCGAACAAACCGGCCAAACCAAUCGAACAAAGUAUAGUAAUAGUACCAAUUUAAAAAAGUUAAAAAUAGAUAUAAAAAAAAAGGAACGACUUUUAAUAGGAGAAGAAAACGUAUUGAAAGAAGGAUAUAUCGUACAAACACAUCAGAAACAACCUGUAUAUAAUAUUUAUUUCAAAGUAACAAACAUAUAUGCAUAUAUCCAAUGUAAUAAGAAAACACAUAUUCUUAUUUUUCCUUUUUGUUUUUUUUUUACACUCUCAAAAUCAAUGUCGUAUAAAGUAAACCUAAAUGUAAUUUCAUUAAUUGUAGAAUUGGAUAUGUAUGUUUUAAAAAUUUUAAAAAAUAUAUUUUUUUUUCAUAAAAAAAGUAAAAUAAAACAAAUAAAAGAGGAAUAUAAUUAUGUGAAGAAUGGAGAACUAUUGGAAGAUAUUGUGCCUUAUGGAAAAUAUAUUUAUCCGAAUAUUAAAAAUGGUUUGAUGGAAGACAAUAUGUGCAAAAAUGAUCUUAUUAAUAAUUUUUUUUUUAUGAACAAGUCAUACAAAAUGCUUAAACAAUUUAUAUGUGAAAAUGCAAAUAGUAUCAACUUAAAAAGGGAUUUAUAUAAAUGUUUUAAAUACUUAAAUAUAUAUUUUUACAACAGUGAUGAAAUAAAUAAUAAUGACGAAUCUUAUAUAAGUUCAUCUUCAAAAUUCAGUUUGAAAUCUUUUUUUAAUUUGUUAAAAGAUGUGGAAAUUACAUUUAAUUGUACUUAUGUCCUUUUUUUUUUUUUUCUUCAACUCUGAUGGUGGGAACUGUUUGAAUGAUAGAUGCAAGAAUAAAUGUAAGCGGAAAAAAAAAAAAAAUAAUAAAAAAAAAAAAAUUACGAAUACUUUAUGUUAUUUAGAUUUUAAUCAAUAUAAAACAAAAUUUAACGAAGCUAGCCAUAUUCGUAAAAAAAAAGAUCCAAACAAAUCUAUAAACAUAUUUUACCUUAAGUUAAAAUAUGAAAAUAUCAGAUAUAAAACGAUCAUAAAAAAAAGUAAAAACGGGGGAUGUCGUAAAAAAGGGGGAGGUAAAAAAAAUAGAAAAAUCCAAAGUAACAAAUUAUGUUAUAAGUUUUAUAAUACAUUAUAUAUAAACAAUUUUUUGUUAUUUUACCAUUCGAAGUUUGUACCACUAUUUUUCUCCAAUACUACUGUGAAUGGAUUGAACGUGUAUUAUACUUUAGAAAAUACCGUCGUGAGUGAAAAAUGUAUACUAAAAUUAAAGACGUACAACAGUACGAACAACAGUACGAACAACAGUACCAACAACAGCAGUACCAGUUACAGUGAUAACGAUGCAACUUGUAGAGAGAAUGCAAAAAAACAAUGCCUAUAUGAAUCGCCAUAUUCUAUUGUUUUAAGGUUUACCAGUAAAAUAAUUUUUAAUAAUAAUAAAAAAAAAAUAAACUACCAUUUAAAACUUAUUCAAGGUUUAGAUUUUACUUUUGAGAAGUUAAACAUAUAUAUAUAUGACGUUUUUUUUAAUAUUUUAAAACAUUUUUAUUUUUGUUAUUUUUUGAAAAAGGAAAAGGAGAGUUCUGUGUGUAGGGGAGUUAUUGACAAUACAGAAAAUGGCAUAAGAGUGGAAAAUGGCAUAGGAGUGGAAAAUGGCAUAGGAGUGGAAAAUGGCAUAGAAGUGGAAAACCAUACGUGGGACAUCCUCGUAUUAAAAUCAAAGUUUCUAAAAUUAUAUCAGUUAAACAAUACAUUCAGUAAUAACUUAAAAAAACGAUUACUCAAAAUAUUGCUUUAUUUUGUUAUAAAAAAAAUAAACAUAAUUUUUUUGUUUGAGAAUGCACAAAAUAGUUUAGUAGAGUCACAAAGUAAGAAGGGUAAUCAUGAUCAUAGUUCUGAAUAUAUUAAAUAUACAGAAUUGAAAUUUAAAAUAAAAUUUUUUCUCAUAAAUUUAAAAACAAAUUUUGUACAUGUUAAAAUGAAGAAAUAUUUACAUGUUGGUAUGGAAGAAGCAAAACAAAAACAAGAGAUAUGUACAUAUAAUCCAUUGUUGAAAAAAAAAAAAAAAAGUAGUAAUAGUGGUAGUAAUAAUGGUAGUAAUAGUGGUAGUAAUAAUGGUAGUAAUAGUUGUAGUAAUAAUGGUAGUAGUACUGGUAGUAAUAGUGGUAGUAAUACUAGUAGUGGUAACUAUCAGAGUAUACAGACGAACAAACAAAUGUAUAUAAAACACUAUUUAUACAUAAGUAAGUUCUCUUUUAAUGUAUUUAUGUUUGAAUUUAUGAUUGUUAAGGAGGAUUCAGAUGGAAUACGAACAGAAGUAAGACAAAUAAACCGAACGGAAGUAGGAAAAAUAAACCGAACGGAAGUAGGACAAAUAAACCCUGAACCUAUGUUGAAUAUGUUACCACAAAGUAAUACAUACUCAUCAAUCACAUUUAAUAAUAAUGUUAAUAAUCGAAUGAGAAAUAAUGAUAAAAUGAAUCAUUCGAAUGUUAAGAAUGUUCAUGAAGAUGUAGACAUAUAUAAUGAUGUUCGUUUUAAUUCAGGUAAUAAUAAUUUCGAAUCGAGUGUAAAUUUUUCUUCCACAAACAGAAGUACAACAAUGUAUUAUACUACAUCUUCAACAGAUUCUAUUAAAACUAUGUAUACAACAACAACAACAAAACCAGUAUAUAUCAACAAAACUAUACUUUUAAAAAUAGAAAAGAUGUAUUUAAAAAUAUCUGAUUUGUAUAAUAUCGUUUUAUUACUUACUUGUAAUAAAUUAAAAAUAUAUACCUAUACAAAUGUUAUAAAUAAAUUAAACUAUUAUUUCCAAUUAUUACUAAAAAGGGGUGAUACAUUAUGUUCGAGCAGUUGUAUUUUUACAAAUAAAAUAAAAAAGAAAUGUAGUAAGAAAUGUGGAAAAAAAUGUAGUCAAAAAUGUGGAAAAAAAUGUAGUCAGAAAUGUGGAAAGAAGUGCAAGUCGAAAACAUGUGAUAUAAAAAAGAUAAUAACAUACGAUUAUAAUACAAAGAGUUCAAAUAAAAUAAAAAAAGAGAGUAAUUUUUUAUUCAGUUUGUACAAACUAUUUUUAAUAAAAAAAGUUCUAUUCCGUUUUAAUCAUGUUAGUUUAGAAUUUAUACAAUACAUUGAUACUAGUAACAGUUUUGUCUUAACAAAAAAAGAUGACAAUCGUAACAGUAGUGGAAAGCUCAAUACAAAAAAAAAACGUAAAAGUGAAAAUCCCAACAGAAAUUAUAAAACAUUAAGUAUAAAAAUGAAAAAAAUUAACACAACAAUAAUUAAAAAAAUGAGCAAAAUUUUGACAAAAAAAAAAACAUUGUUUACCUAUUUUGUACACAAUCAAUUAUAUGGUAUAAUAAUAAAUAUAAAAGGUAACAAAAACAGUAAUACACAUAAAAAUAAACAGUUGAUAUUCUGUUGUAAUUACUUACAUAUAUUUAAUAAUAUUACUUUUAUUAUGUUAGUGAAAAAAUAUUUUUUAAGAUAUGUAAUAGUACAUCCGAAGGAGUUUGUUCUUGAUCAUAAUAGUAAGAUUAAGAAUAAACGAAAAAAAAAUAACAUUUUUUUAAGUACAAAAUAUGAUAAAAUGAAAAAAAAAAUACAAACCUUAAGGGUUUAUUCUACGCUUUCUAAAGUAUACACUUACAAAAAAAGGAUAAAAUUAUUGUAUUUAGUUAAACGAAAUAUAAAACGGAAAAUAUUUCAAAAUAAUUGUUUGCGUAUAGCAAUAAAAGAGAAUGUUCAUAGUGAUCAGAACAGUGAUGGUGAUCAGAAAAUUGAUGGUGAUAAGGACAGUGAUCAGAAAAGUGAUAAGGACAGUGAUAAAGACAGUGAUAAGGACAGUGAUCAGAAAAGUGAUAAGGACAGUGAUCAGAAAAGUGAUAAGGACAGUGAUAAGGACAGUGAUAAGGACAGUGAUAAGGACAGUGAUAAGGGUCGUAAAAUAUUUGCAAGCAUUGAUAUUAAAACCGUAAUAAAAAGUUAUAACAAAAGAAGUAAACAGUUGAUAGAUGCAAAAAAAAAUUCAUCUUUUUAUUUUUUUUUCAAUCAAAAUAACAUAAUAUUGUUAAUUGAGUUUUAUGCAUGUCUACUAUAUAUGUCGAGAGAAGUAAGAGAACUUUUGAAAAAAUAUAAAAACGAAUUAGUAAAAAUAACAAACAAUAAUAAAAUAUUUGUUACUCCAUUGAAUAAUGUAAAACAUAGUGAUGUUUCUCAAAGUUAUGCCUCCUCCACCACACAUAUUAUUAGCAUAUUUUUAAACAGUUUUAAUUAUAUUCAGUAUGAUAUAAAAAAUAUAUUUUUUUUUUUAUAUACAUUAAAUAUGAAAACAUUUAUAGGAACUUACAUAAAUACAUUAAAAGGAGUAUUACAAAUAAAUACAAUUAAAAAAUUUGUUAAUAUGAAUGAAUAUACUUUUAGUCUUAUAAAUGAAUUGAAAGAAUCUGUUUUGUUUAGUAGCAAUAGUAACUAUUUUAAUAAUAAAAAAAGUAUGUACAUUUUUGAAAUUUAUAGCAGUUUAUCUGAUAAAAAUAAAUUUGUUUAUUUAAAUGCAUUGUUGUUUUUUUUGAAGAGGCAACAUAUGUCUAACUACUUAAGUGGAUUGGUUAAGUGGAUACAAAAAAAAAAGAAAUCGCAAAAAAUGCAGUCGCAAAAAAAGGAAUUGCAAAAAAAAGAAUUGCAAAAAAAGGAAUUGCAAAAAAAAGAAUUGCAAAAAAAGGAAUUGCAAAAAAAGGAAUCGCAAAAAAAAGAAUCGCAAAAAAAAGAAUCGCAAAGAAAGGAAGAAAAACCAAAGCAGAGUCAAACCAUAAUGGUGAAAAAAUUAGAACAUAUGUUUAAUAAGUCAUUAGAAAGAGUAUAUUGGGAUGCGUAUGCUAAGUUAUGCAAUAAACAAUUGAUUGUUGAAACUAGAAAAAAAAAACUUCAUAAAAAAGUGAAAAUUACAAAAAAUGGUAAAAAAAUGUAUAGUAAAAAAUUGUAUGGAAAAAAAUGUUUAAGGAAUUACUCCGAACAGUUUUUUACAAAAGAUUGCAAUAAUAACAUAUACUUGUUUGGUUUGUAUGACAAUAUUAUAAAAAAGUGUUAUAAGUUAGGUUUAACUUGUUCCGAAUAUGACAGUAGUGGAAAUAGUGACAACAUAAAGAGAAAAUGUUUUUAUACGGUAGAAACUACAUCUGCUAUAGUUGACAAAAUUAACAAACUAAAUAAAAUAUAUGAUAAAAAAUUUGAUAAAAAAUAUGAUAAAAUAUAUGAUAAAAAAUAUGUUAAACAUUUAAAAAAUAGAAAGAGAAUAAACAAUAAUAGAAAAGAUGAAAAAAAAAACAAAUUCUGUUUAUGUAUAAAAUAUGUUAUUAAUAAGGAAGCUAAAUUAAAAUUAAGUUUAAAAUUAAGUUUAAAAUUAAGUUUAAAAUAUAGUUUUAAAAAUAUUUUUUUUUAUUUACCUUUAUAUACUCUUGUUGAUGUUAGUAAGAUUUUAUCCAUAUCGAAGAUUUCUGCAUUGUAUGAGAUAUUAUGUGGUGAUACCUCCAUAGACAACAGCAUAAGUAAUAAUGGUCGCAAUGAUAAUGGAACAAAAAAUAAACAAUUUGAUAUUUUUUAUAAUAUUAAAUUAAAUUUUGUAAAUAUUAAUUUACAUUUAUUGUCUACAUCUACAUAUAGUAUGAAUAAACUGGAACAAAAUAAAAAAUAUGAAGAUAAAGUAGUGAGCAUAGUAGGAAGCAAAAACAUAAAAUUCGCAAAAAAAAAAAAAAAGCGUGGUAAAGAAAGUGGUAGUAAAGAAAGUGGUAGUAAAGAAAGUGGUAGUAAAGAAAGUAGUAGUACAGGAGGUGGUGUUACAGAAAGUGGUAGUAACAGUGUUGGUAACGAAAUUAGUGGCAGUGAUAACAUACACAGACGUCUUAUAAAUAUAAAAUAUAAAAAUAAUUUACCACAAUCAAACAAAAUGUUAAAAAAUUAUAAUUCCAUAAAAAGAUCACAAAACGCAAAGCUUGCAACUCCUAAUCAUAAAUUUGAUGGAAAAAAAAAAAAACGAUAAAGUUCAUUUUUCUUAUCAUCCAAUUAAUCAGGUUAAUCCGUUUAACUAUAAAGGAAACAUUUCAAGUGGAAAGAAAAAAAAAAAAAAUCCAACCAUGAUGGAUAAAACUGUUUUUUUUUAUGACAUUGUUUUGAGUACGAAUGUAAAAAUAGAUGUAGAGAACAAAACAGGUGAUAAACGUAAAAAAAUAAAAAAUAAGGGUAUAACA